Molecule: ribosomal RNA, 496 nt
Filed under: uncultured bacterium
Lineage: Bacteria
Description: partial 16S ribosomal RNA
Rfam family: Bacterial small subunit ribosomal RNA
Source: RNAcentral
AUGAACGCUGGCGGCGUGCCUAAUACAUGCAAGUCGAGCGAACAGAUGAGGAGCUUGCUCCUCUGACGUUAGCGGCGGACGGGUGAGUAACACGUGGAUAACCUACCUAUAAGACUGGGAUAACUUCGGGAAACCGGAGCUAAUACCGGAUAAUAUAUUGAACCGCAUGGUUCAAUAGUGAAAGAUGGUUUUGCUGUCACUUAUAGAUGGAUCCGCGCCGCAUUAGCUAGUUGGUAAGGUAACGGCUUACCAAGGCAACGAUGCGUAGCCGACCUGAGAGGGUGAUCGGCCACACUGGAACUGAGACACGGUCCAGACUCCUACGGGAGGCAGCAGUAGGGAAUCUUCCGCAAUGGGCGAAAGCCUGACGGAGCAACGCCGCGUGAGUGAUGAAGGUCUUCGGAUCGUAAAACUCUGUUAUUAGGGAAGAACAAAUGUGUAAGUAACUAUGCACGUCUUGACGGUACCUAAUCAGAAAGCCACGGCUAACUACGUG